CCCUUAGAUGUCCUGGGCCGCACGUGUGCUACACUGACACUUGCAACGAGUACUUUGCUUUACCGAAAGGUAAUGCUAAUCAUCAAUAAGUGUCGUGAUGGGGAUAGAUCUUUGGAAUUAUGGAUCUUGAACGAGGAAUGCCUAGUAAGCGUAGGUCAUUAGCCUACGCUGAUUAAGUCCCUGCCCUUUGUACACACCGCCCGUCGCUCCUACCGAUUUCGAGUGGUCCGGUGAAACUUUUGGACCGUGCGACUUUAUUGUUGUCACGGAAAGUCAGUUAAACCAUACUACUUAGAGGAAGGAGAAGUCGUAACA
RNAcentral lists this ribosomal RNA (315 nucleotides) under uncultured eukaryote. RNAcentral describes it as "partial 18S ribosomal RNA". It matches the Rfam family "Eukaryotic small subunit ribosomal RNA", at positions 1470 to 1796 of the family's 1831-position model. The record is from RNAcentral.